Molecule: ribosomal RNA, 497 nt
Filed under: uncultured bacterium
Lineage: Bacteria
Description: partial 16S ribosomal RNA
Rfam family: Bacterial small subunit ribosomal RNA
Source: RNAcentral
GAUGAACGCUGGCGGCGUGCCUAAUACAUGCAAGUCGAGCGAACAGACGAGGAGCUUGCUCCUCUGACGUUAGCGGCGGACGGGUGAGUAACACGUGGAUAACCUACCUAUAAGUCUGGGAUAACUUCGGGAAACCGGAGCUAAUACCGGAUAAUAUAUUGAACCGCAUGGUUCAAUAGUGAAAGACGGUUUUGCUGUCACUUAUAGAUGGAUCCGCGCCGCAUUAGCUAGUUGGUAAGGUAACGGCUUACCAAGGCGACGAUGCGUAGCCGACCUGAGAGGGUGAUCGGCCACACUGGAACUGAGACACGGUCCAGACUCCUACGGGAGGCAGCAGUAGGGAAUCUUCCGCAAUGGGCGAAAGCCUGACGGAGCAACGCCGCGUGAGUGAUCAAGGUCUUCGGAUCGUAAAACUCUGUUAUUAGGGAAGAACAAAUGUGUAAGUAACUAUGCACGUCUUGACGGUACCUAAUCAGAAAGCCACGGCUAACUACGUG